AACCAGCUCUUAGAGUGGUGAUCAUGUUUAUUUGGCUUAAAGUGUGCGUAGCAGGACAGCGUAAGUCCCCUGUGAAAUGCUCGGUCUUAAGCCGAGCGCGGGCAGGGGAUACUGUGCGUCUUGGGACCGGGAUAGGUGUAAUGUACGCGUUGGGUAGGGGUGAAAUCCGAUAAUCCAACGCGGACAACCGGUGGCGAAGGCGUUACACUGGAACGGGUCCGACUGUGAGGCACGAAAGCUAGGGUCGCGAGCCGGAUUAGAUACCCCCGUA
RNAcentral lists this ribosomal RNA (271 nucleotides) under uncultured prokaryote. RNAcentral describes it as "partial 16S ribosomal RNA". It matches the Rfam family "Archaeal small subunit ribosomal RNA", at positions 474 to 743 of the family's 1478-position model. The record is from RNAcentral.